AUGCUGACAGCUCUCACUAUCAUUCUGCUAAUAGUUGCUUAUUACAGCUAUAAGUAUUUCCUCAGGCAGAAGAAAUUGUGGGAGGAAAAUAUUCCAAAUCCUGGGAAGAGUCUGCUGAUCCAGAGCUACCUGGGGGCAAGAGGGACCUGUACCUUGCAGGGUGCCCCUGCUAGUACAACAUGGAGUUAUUCUAAGGAAGCUGUCAGCCACCUGCCAGCCAGCCAGGUGGGCUUCAGUGGGCAGAACAUUUCUGAGGGGGUGGAGGAGAUUAACUGCCUUCAAAUGCUGGAUGGGAUGAUUAAGAACAGUUCACCAGAGCUUCAUGGAGCUAAGUCUGCGACAGAGAACCUUUCCCUUGGUACACUGGAUCCGCAACUCUGUCAGACUUCUGAAAUGCCACAUAAAACCUCACUUUUAACAGCUGCCCUUGUCAGCCCACUGAAUCAGAGUGCAGCAGUGUCCGGCCUGUUGACCAGGUUUCCAUGCAGGAGCGCUGCUGAUGCAAGUACUGCUUCCCAGACAGCAGUCACUUCCUUCGCUUUCAAUGGUCCAUACUUGUACGGCCCAGUGAUGUCCUCCCAGCCUGAGAUGCAUCAAAUUCUUCAGGUGGACCCGGUGGGAAACCAAGAGAAAUCAGUGUCCCUUCAGGGGCAUGAGUCUGCUCCCAGGCACCACGGAGGCAAGAGGAGCAGGUCCUCAGCAUCCUUUCCUGCUCCCAGAUUAGAAGGAAAUGAUGCAGCGCCUUAA
Molecule: long non-coding RNA, 747 nt
Filed under: Cairina moschata (Muscovy duck)
Lineage: Eukaryota; Metazoa; Chordata; Aves; Anseriformes; Anatidae
Description: domestica (muscovy Duck (domestic type)) lncRNA (ENSCMMG00000003926.1)
Source: RNAcentral